UCCGCGGUAGCACAACGGUAGUGCGGCGCCCUGUUAAGGCGAAGGUUGCAGGUUCGAAUCCUGCCCGCGGAGCCA
RNAcentral lists this transfer RNA (75 nucleotides) under bacterium. Its description in RNAcentral is "tRNA-Asn". It matches the Rfam family "tRNA". Rfam says of the family: Transfer RNA (tRNA) molecules are approximately 80 nucleotides in length. The record is from RNAcentral.